RNAcentral lists this ribosomal RNA (561 nucleotides) under Anacaena sp. 3 MTM-2009. RNAcentral describes it as "eukaryotic LSU rRNA". It matches the Rfam family "Eukaryotic large subunit ribosomal RNA", at positions 711 to 1225 of the family's 3401-position model. The record is from RNAcentral. Lineage: Eukaryota; Metazoa; Arthropoda; Insecta; Coleoptera; Hydrophilidae.
AAGGCGAAAUGAAAGUGAAGGCCCGCCCCGCGCGGGCCGAGGGAGGAUGGGCCGCGUCACGACGCGGCCCCGCACUCCCGGGGCGUCUCGUUCUCAUUGCGAGAAGAGGCGCACCCAGAGCGUACACGCUGGGACCCGAAAGAUGGUGAACUAUGCCUGGUCAGGACGAAGUCAGGGGAAACCCUGAUGGAGGUCCGUAGCGAUUCUGACGUGCAAAUCGAUCGUCGGAACUGGGUAUAGGGGCGAAAGACUAAUCGAACCAUCUAGUAGCUGGUUCCCUCCGAAGUUUCCCUCAGGAUAGCUGGCGCUCGCUUUUGCGAGUCUCAUCCGGUAAAGCGAAUGAUUAGAGGCAUUGGGGUCGAAACGGCCUCAACCUAUUCUCAAACUUUAAAUGGGUGAGAUCUCCGGCUUGCUCAAACUUGAAGCCGCGAGAUUAACUUAAUAUAAGGAUCAGAGUGCCAAGUGGGCCACUUUUGGUAAGCAGAACUGGCGCUGUGGGAUGAACCAAACGCAGAGUUAAAGCGCCAAAAUCGACGCUUAUGGGAUACCAUGAAAGGCGUU